RNAcentral lists this transfer RNA (72 nucleotides) under Lebia chlorocephala. RNAcentral describes it as "tRNA-Trp". Lineage: Eukaryota; Metazoa; Arthropoda; Insecta; Coleoptera; Carabidae. The record is from RNAcentral.
AAGGAUUUAAGUUAAUAUAAACUAAUAGCCUUCAAAGCUAUAAAUAAAGAACAAGUCCUCCUUUAAGCCUUA